GUGCAGCAGUCGAGAAAACUUCACACUGUGCGAAAGCACGAUGAGGGAAUCCCAAGUGCUUGCACGUAAGUGUAAGCUGUUUCUCUGUCUAAAACGCAGAGAGAGUAAGGGCUGGGUAAGACGGGUGCCAGCCGCCGCGGUAAUACCUGCAGCUCAAGUGGUGACCGUUAUUAUUGGGCCUAAAACGUCCGUAGCCGGUUUAAUAAAUGCCUGGGUAAAUUGUGUAGCUUAACUAUACGAAUUCCGGGUAGACUGUUAAACUUGAGACCGGGAGAAGUUAGAGGUACUCCUGGGGUAGAGGUGAAAUUCUGUAAUCCUAGGGGGACCACCAGUGGCGAAGGCGUCUAACUAGAACGGGUCUGACGGUGAGGGACGAAGCCCUGGGGCGCAAACGGGAUUAGAUACCCCUGUA
RNAcentral lists this ribosomal RNA (412 nucleotides) under uncultured microorganism. RNAcentral describes it as "bacterial SSU rRNA". It matches the Rfam family "Archaeal small subunit ribosomal RNA", at positions 330 to 743 of the family's 1478-position model. The record is from RNAcentral.